ACAUCAAAUCGUACCCCAAACCGACACAGGUGGUCAGGUAGAGAAUACCAAGGCGCUUGAGAGAACUCGGGUGAAGGAACUAGGCAAAAUGGUGCCGUAACUUCGGGAGAAGGCACGCUGACACGUAGGUGAAGUGAUUUACUCAUGGAGCUGAAGUCAGUCGAAGAUACCAGCUGGCUGCAACUGUUUAUUAAAAACACAGCACUGUGCAAACACGAAAGUGGACGUAUACGGUGUGACGCCUGCCCGGUGCCGGAAGGUUAAUUGAUGGGGUCAGCGCAAGCGAAGCUCCUGAUCGAAGCCCCGGUAAACGGCGGCCGUAACUAUAACGGUCCUAAGGUAGCGAAAUUCCUUGUCGGGUAAGUUCCGACCUGCACGAAUGGCGUAAUGAUGGCCAGGCUGUCUCCACCCGAGACUCAGUGAAAUUGAACUCGCUGUGAAGAUGCAGUGUACCCGCGGCAAGACGGAAAGACCCCGUGAACCUUUACUAUAGCUUGACACUGAACAUUGAGCCUUGAUGUGUAGGAUAGGUGGGAGGCUUUGAAGUGUGGACGCCAGUCUGCAUGGAGCCGACCUUGAAAUACCACCCUUUAAUGUUUGAUGUUCUAACGUGGACCCGUAAUCCGGGUUGCGGACAGUGUCUGGUGGGUAGUUUGACUGGGGCGGUCUCCUCCUAAAGAGUAACGGAGGAGCACGAAGGUUGGCUAAUCCUGGUCGGACAUCAGGAGGUUAGUGCAAUGGCAUAAGCCAGCUUGACUGCGAGCGUGACGGCGCGAGCAGGUGCGAAAGCAGGUCAUAGUGAUCCGGUGGUUCUGAAUGGAAGGGCCAUCGCUCAACGGAUAAAAGGUACUCCGGGGAUAACAGGCUGAUACCGCCCAAGAGUUCAUAUCGACGGCGGUGUUUGGCACCUCGAUGUCGGCUCAUCACAUCCUGGGGCUGAAGUAGGUCCCAAGGGUAUGGCUGUUCGCCAUUUAAAGUGGUACGCGAGCUGGGUUUAGAACGUCGUGAGACAGUUCGGUCCCUAUCUGCCGUGGGCGCUGGAGAACUGAGGGGGGCUGCUCCUAGUACGAGAGGACCGGAGUGGACGCAUCACUGGUGUUCGGGUUGUCAUGCCAAUGGCACUGCCCGGUAGCUAAAUGCGGAAGAGAUAAGUGCUGAAAGCAUCUAAGCACGAAACUUGCCCCGAGAUGAGUUCUCCCUGAGACUUAGAGUCUCCUGAAGGAACGUUGAAGACGACGACGUUGAUAGGCCGGGUGUGUAAGCGCAGCGAUGCGUUGAGCUAACCGGUACUAAUGAACCGUGAGGCUUAACCUUAC
This 1316-nucleotide ribosomal RNA is filed under the name Salmonella enterica subsp. enterica. RNAcentral's name for it is "partial 23S ribosomal RNA". It matches the Rfam family "Bacterial large subunit ribosomal RNA", at positions 1634 to 2925 of the family's 2925-position model. Lineage: Bacteria; Pseudomonadati; Pseudomonadota; Gammaproteobacteria; Enterobacterales; Enterobacteriaceae. The record is from RNAcentral.